ACCGACCCCUCGUGCGGCGGUAUUCCUGCCGAACUCCCCCAGGGCCGGAAGGCAGCAAGGGUAAGCGGGCCCUGCCGGGUGCACGAGGGGUCCUUUCA
RNAcentral lists this signal recognition particle RNA (98 nucleotides) under Phytoactinopolyspora mesophila. RNAcentral's name for it is "Bacterial small signal recognition particle RNA". It matches the Rfam family "Bacterial small signal recognition particle RNA". From Rfam's summary of the family: The signal recognition particle (SRP) is a universally conserved ribonucleoprotein involved in the co-translational targeting of proteins to membranes. Archaeal SRP consists of a 7S RNA and homologues of the eukaryotic SRP19 and SRP54 proteins. Lineage: Bacteria; Bacillati; Actinomycetota; Actinomycetes; Jiangellales; Jiangellaceae. The record is from Rfam by way of RNAcentral.